RNAcentral lists this transfer RNA (73 nucleotides) under Ailuropoda melanoleuca (giant panda). It matches the Rfam family "tRNA". Rfam says of the family: Transfer RNA (tRNA) molecules are approximately 80 nucleotides in length. Their secondary structure includes four short double-helical elements and three loops (D, anti-codon, and T loops). Lineage: Eukaryota; Metazoa; Chordata; Mammalia; Carnivora; Ursidae. The record is from Rfam by way of RNAcentral.
GCCUAGCUGGCUCAGUAGUAGAAGCAUGUGACUCUUGAUCUUGGGGUCAUGAGUUCGAGCCCCGUGUUGGGUG